This 497-nucleotide ribosomal RNA is filed under the name uncultured bacterium. RNAcentral describes it as "partial 16S ribosomal RNA". It matches the Rfam family "Bacterial small subunit ribosomal RNA", at positions 28 to 507 of the family's 1533-position model. The record is from RNAcentral.
GAUGAACGCUGGCGGCGUGCCUAAUACAUGCAAGUCGAGCGAACGGACGAGAAGCUUGCUUCUCUGAUGUUAGCGGCGGACGGGUGAGUAACACGUGGAUAACCUACCUAUAAGACUGGGAUAACUUCGGGAAACCGUAGCUAAUACCGGAUAAUAUUUUGAACCGCAUGGUUCAAAAGUGAAAGACGGUCUUGCUGUCACUUAUAGAUGGAUCCGCGCUGCAUUAGCUAGUUGGUAAGGUAACGGCUUACCAAGGCAACGAUGCAUAGCCGACCUGUGAGGGUGAUCGGCCACACUGGAACUGAGACACGGUCCAGACUCCUACGGGAGGCAGCAGUAGGGAAUCUUCCGCAAUGGGCGAAAGCCUGACGGAGCAACGCCGCGUGAGUGAUGAAGGUCUUCGGAUCGUAAAACUCUGUUAUUAGGGAAGAACAUAUGAGUAAGUAACUGUGCACAUCUUGACGGUACCUAAUCAGAAAGCCACGGCUAACUACGUG